UACGUAGGGGGCGAGCGUUGUCCGGAUUUACUGGGCGUAAAGGGUGAGUAGGCGGUUAUAUAUGUCAGGUGUAAAAAGCUAUGGCUUAACCAUAGUAAGCACUUGAAACUGUAUGACUUGAGUGCAGGAGAGGUAAGUGGAAUUCCUAGUGUAGCGGUGAAAUGCGUAGAUAUUAGGAGGAACACCAGUGGCGAAGGCGACUUACUGGACUGUAGCUGACGCUGAGUCAUGAAAGCGUGGGUAGCAAACAGGAUUAGAUACCCU
RNAcentral lists this ribosomal RNA (264 nucleotides) under uncultured prokaryote. RNAcentral describes it as "partial 16S ribosomal RNA". It matches the Rfam family "Bacterial small subunit ribosomal RNA", at positions 524 to 788 of the family's 1533-position model. The record is from RNAcentral.